GACGAACGCUGGCGGCGUGCUUAACACAUGCAAGUCGAACGGAAAGCCCUGCUUUUGUGGGGUGCUCGGGUGGCGAACGGGGGAGUAACACGGGAGUAACCUGCCCUUUACUUUGGGAUAACUUCAGGAAACUGGGGCUAAUACCGGAUAGGAGCUCCUGCUGCAUGGGGGGGGGUGGGAAGGUUCGGCGGUUGGGGAUGGACUCGCGGCUUAUCAGCUUGUUGGUGGGGUAGUGGCUUACCAAGGCUUUGACGGGUAGCCGGCCUGAGAGGGUGACCGGCCACAUUGGGACUGAGAUACGGCCCAGACUCCUACGGGAGGCAGCAGUGGGGAAUAUUGCACAAUGGGCGGAAGCCUGAUGCAGCAACGCCGCGUGCGGGAUGACGGCCUUUGGGUUGUAAACCGCUUUCGCCUGUGACGAAGCGUGAGUGACGGUAAUGGGUAAAGAAGCACCGGCUAACUACGUG
Molecule: ribosomal RNA, 467 nt
Filed under: uncultured bacterium
Lineage: Bacteria
Description: partial 16S ribosomal RNA
Rfam family: Bacterial small subunit ribosomal RNA
Source: RNAcentral